Pelobates cultripes (western spadefoot toad) is the source of this 355-nucleotide non-coding RNA. Lineage: Eukaryota; Metazoa; Chordata; Amphibia; Anura; Pelobatidae. The record is from the annotation of a GenBank genome assembly.
GCAGUGGUGGAGGAGGAGGAUGAGGUAGCCAACACUGUUUUUUCUAUAUAUAUAUAUAUAUAUAUAUAUAUAUUUUAAUUGGGGUGGCCCCCAAAAUAUUGGGACAUAUAAAGAAAGACAACUCUGUUCCGCAGAGUAGCUGCUGACAUUAUAGUUGCGCAGACACUUUGUUGACUCUAGAGAACCUUGGCCAAUCGCACAUCCCCGUGGCAACGACUUUGCAUGCGGAUGUCAUCCAUAUCAACUUUCGAUGCCAGUUUCUGCGCCUACCAUGGUUACCACGGGUAACGGUGAAUCAGGGAUCCAUUCCAUACAGGGACCCUGAGAAACAGCUACCACAUGCAUGGAAGGCAGC